This 254-nucleotide ribosomal RNA is filed under the name uncultured bacterium. RNAcentral describes it as "partial 16S ribosomal RNA". It matches the Rfam family "Bacterial small subunit ribosomal RNA", at positions 524 to 776 of the family's 1533-position model. The record is from RNAcentral.
UACGGAGGAUCCAAGCGUUAUCCGGAAUCAUUGGGUUUAAAGGGUCCGUAGGCGGUUUGGUAAGUCAGUGGUGAAAGCCCAUCGCUCAACGGUGGAACGGCCAUUGAUACUGCCAGACUUGAAUUAUUAGGAAGUAACUAGAAUAUGUAGUGUAGCGGUGAAAUGCUUAGAGAUUACAUGGAAUACCAAUUGCGAAGGCAGGUUACUACUAACUGGAUUGACGCUGAUGGACGAAAGCGUGGGUAGCGAACAGG